Molecule: long non-coding RNA, 2262 nt
Filed under: Triticum aestivum (bread wheat)
Lineage: Eukaryota; Viridiplantae; Streptophyta; Magnoliopsida; Poales; Poaceae
Description: long non-coding RNA (TAES_LNC011695)
Source: RNAcentral
UCUAGAUUCUAUUCUACAAGUCCAAAUGAGAUGAUUCUUUUUGCAUUGGUUUGUUUUUUUAGCUCCUCUUUUAGCAUGCAAAAUAUGAGAUUUUUGCUUGCUGUAAAUCUUUUCUGGUGUAUUUAAAAGUGUUAUGUGACAUUUUCUUUUUGCCAUUUUCAUUGUUUUCAGAGGGAACUUGCUGCCUUGAGGAGAACCAGGAGGAGUGUGAACCUCCUCUGCACUAAGGCAAGCCAUCACAAAUAUUUGCAAGAGUGUCAUUUCAAUAAGUAUGAUUUUCACUUGAAUAUGGUCCCAUAUAAUGCAUAUAGAAAAAGAUGAGAUUUUUGCUUGCUGUAAAUCUUUUCUGGUGUAUUUAAAAGUGUUAUGUGACAUUUUCUUUUUGCCAUUUUCAUUAUUUUCAGAGGGAACUUGUUGCCUUGAGGAGAACCAGGAGGAGUGUGAACCUCCUCUGCACUAAGGCAAGCCAUCACAAAUAUUUGCAAGAGUGUCAUUUCAAUAAGUAUGAUUUUCACUUGAAUAUGGUCCCAUAUAAUGCAUAUAGAAAAUUAAAUAAUAUAACUUGUGCUAGUUUCAUUUCCGUGCUAUGCUUGUAAUGUUUUCAGUGUUAUUUAAGUUGUUUGGUUAAGGUUAUGCAGUAGGGUAACAUGAUCAUGAGCACGAGUAAGUUCAUACCGGUAUUAUGUUGAAAUGGUGCAUAUAUAUAGGUCAUUGCAUUUUCAUGGCAUACUAUGACUCAGAAAUAAUUCUUUGCAAGUUGAAACCUAAUAAUAAUCCAACUUGAACAUGUUGUUGAUCGAGUCAUGGUGUCACCGAAUCGAGCUUCCCAGUGCAACCACAUGUGCCUUUAUGGGGAGGCCCUUUCUCGUUCUGUUGUUAUGCCUCUCGCCGGUGCCUCCAACUAGGGAAGGUUAUGCGCUUGCGCUACCCUGGCCUGGUAGGCAGGCAUAGCCUUGUGUGCUCGUAGUUGAUUUGGUACCAUUAUCUCCAUUUGGGAUCGUUUGUUUUGCCACGACGGUGGUCGUUGGGUGUCAUGAGGUGACAUCGGGGCCACCCAGGACUUAGCCCAAAGGGGAGUUGGUCGGAGUGGCUGGGAGAGUGUCAUGGCAAUAGAUUGGUUCUGUUGGAACGUCGUUGGUCCACCCUAAUGGGAGUUCGAGGCAAUGGGUUCUGUGGUGUAGGUAUAAUGUACUACCUAUGCAGAGUGUGUUUAAUCUAUCGAUAGAUGCAUCCUCGGUCAUGGACACAAUUCAUAGUAGGUCACACCGUGGAUCAACAGAAAUACUGAACCUGCACACUAAAGUUAUACUUGUGGCACUUGUUAUGUUGGUGGAGUUGUUGAGACCGUCAAGAUGGUUUCUUUUGUGAUCCGGAGGUGAUCACCGUGGUAAGAUGUUCAUGGUUCCGAGGUAACCAAGAUGGUAAGCGGGUCUGAGAGACUCCGUUUGCGGGCACGGUCACUUCAUGAGUAGCAUGCUUAGUUCUUGCAUUGAACCUGCUUAAAUAUCAUGUUGUUGUUUGCCAUUGUUGCUUUAUUUGUGUGAGCUUGUGAGUACAUUCAAAGUACUUACCUGGCGUGUCAUGCUAGUUUCAGGAGAAGUCAUACCGUAGUUGGAGUUGCAUCGUUGCAUCGCAGUCUAGACCGUGUCCACAUCGGUGUCCUUGUGAGAUGGAGUUCCUCUACGUCGUCGUUCCGCUGCCGCGUAGCUUUAUUGUCGUGCUCGAGGUCCCUAUCAUGUUCAUUAAAUAAUGUACAUAUGUGCAACAGCACCGUGUGUGCCGCUUGGCCUCGCUAUCUGAUGUACUAUCAAACCUAUGCUUCAAUAAAGUGGUUGUCUUUCUGUACCAAGUUAUUGUGUGUUGCCAGAAGACAUGAUCCAUGGGUUGGCAAUGCAACGUAAACCGGUUGCUCUGAGCUGGGGUGCCACAGAGUAGCACCAAAAUCAUGCCAUCCAAGCCACCGCCGAUGGGCACCACCACAACAGCAUGACAAUUCUGAUUUUGGCAAAAGUUGUCAUCAUUCCUAGACUAUUUAAGUUGUUAUAGGUGAUGAUGGUGACAUUGUUCAUUGUCCGCUAGUUUUUAGGGCCAUAUUAAAGACUUAGGGUGGUAAUACAUUCAUAGAGGACGAGUUCCUGCACUCUCACUGGGACAGAAGCAAUGAGUUCUUCAUCACCCGAUCGUCUGGCCUCAGCAGCAAGUUCAUGACCCACCUUGUUACACUCCCUAGUAGCAUGUCCGACUAGUUUUUUUUAAUACGGG